UUAUCUCUGUAGAGUCUGCAUAUCAAUAAGCGGAGGAAAAGAAACUAACUAGGAUUCCCUCAGUAACGGCGAGUGAAGCGGGAAGAGCUCAAAUUUGAAAUCUUCAAGGUUUUACCUUGACGAAUUGUAGUUUAAAGAAGUGUUUUCUGUUGGAGUUUUGGUAAAAGUUCUUUGGAAUAGGACAUCGAUAGAGGGUGAGAAUCCCGUAUUUGACCAUUAUUUCCAGCUUUGUGAUACACUUUCAAAGAGUCGGAUUGUUUGGGAAUGCAGUCCAAAAUGGGUGGUAAAUUUCAUCUAAAGCUAAAUAUUGGCGAGAGACCGAUAGCGAACAAGUACCGUAGAGGGAAAGAUGAAAAGAACUUUGAAAAGAGAGUUAAACAGUACGUGAAAUUGUCAAAAGGGAAGCGUUUGACACCAGUGUUGUUUUCUCGAAAAUCAAUUAAAAAUGGUCUUGAUUUUGUGUUGUAUUGACCUUAAAAGCUUUCUUCACUUUUUUCAUGUCUUUUUUAAUGCACUUUUCGUUUAACAAGUCAACAUCAGUUUCUUUUGUUGUAAAAAGGUCAUUGGAAGGUGGCUUUCUUUUCGGAGAAAGUGUUUAUAGCCUUUGACUCCUGCAAUCGGAGAGACUGAGGUCUGCAGCGUAGAUCCUUCUGGAUUAGAUACAUUUGUGCUAAGUUACAACCGUUUAUAGACAACUUGUUGACUAUAUUCGAUCCUGUAGCUUACUCGCUUAUGUAAUUUUACCUACGCUUAGGAUGUUGAGUCAUCACACAUCUCU
This 778-nucleotide ribosomal RNA is filed under the name uncultured Neocallimastigales. RNAcentral describes it as "partial large subunit ribosomal RNA". It matches the Rfam family "Eukaryotic large subunit ribosomal RNA", at positions 24 to 618 of the family's 3401-position model. The record is from RNAcentral. Lineage: Eukaryota; Fungi; Neocallimastigomycota; Neocallimastigomycetes; Neocallimastigales.